RNAcentral lists this long non-coding RNA (279 nucleotides) under Hordeum vulgare. RNAcentral describes it as "long non-coding RNA (HVUL_LNC020258)". Lineage: Eukaryota; Viridiplantae; Streptophyta; Magnoliopsida; Poales; Poaceae. The record is from RNAcentral.
GUGGGCUUAAACCUCAUGUGCUCGUUGUUUCGUCAGUCUGUCAGUUAGGUGUUCGGUUUUUCCUCUCCACUUAAGCAGUCAAUAAUAGCUAGUUAGCUGAGUAGAUAAGGUAGUUAGGGUAGCUAGUUUUUCUCCCGUAGACAAGGUCUAACGCCCGCAUGAACUGGAUCGUGGGAUGGCGCGGUCGUGGUGGUUGUAGCGGGCGAAUAGCUCGGGCCGUUGGUGGCUCUGCGUGUGUGUGUUUGUAACAGAAUAAGAGCAGAAGAUAUACAGGGAAAA